UAACUACUCCCUCUGAUCCAUAUUAAUUGUCGAAAUAUUUCAUGUAUCUAGACACUUUUUAGGCAUAGAUACAUCCAUAUUUGGGCAAAUUUGAGACAAUUAAUAUGGAUCAGAGGGAGUACUGA
This is a non-coding RNA of Brachypodium distachyon (stiff brome), 125 nucleotides long. The record is from Rfam. Lineage: Eukaryota; Viridiplantae; Streptophyta; Magnoliopsida; Poales; Poaceae.